Molecule: ribosomal RNA, 495 nt
Filed under: uncultured bacterium
Lineage: Bacteria
Description: partial 16S ribosomal RNA
Rfam family: Bacterial small subunit ribosomal RNA
Source: RNAcentral
GACGAACGCUGGCGGCGUGCCUAAUACAUGCAAGUAGAACGCUGAAGGAGGAGCUUGCUUCUCUGGAUGAGUUGCGAACGGGUGAGUAACGCGUAGGUAACCUGCCUGGUAGCGGGGGAUAACUAUUGGAAACGAUAGCUAAUACCGCAUAAGAGUAGAUGUUGCAUGACAUUUGCUUAAAAGGUGCAAUUGCAUCACUACCAGAUGGACCUGCGUUGUAUUAGCUAGUUGGUGGGGUAACGGCUUACCAAGGCGACGAUACAUAGCCGACCUGAGAGGGGGAUCGGCCACACUGGGACUGAGACACGGCCCAGACUCCUACGGGAGGCAGCAGUAGGGAAUCUUCGGCAAUGGACGGAAGUCUGACCGAGCAACGCCGCGUGAGUGAAGAAGGUUGUCGGAUCGUAAAGCUCUGUUGUAAGAGAAGAACGAGUGUGAGAGUGGAAAGUUCACACUGUGACGGUAUCUUACCAGAAAGGGACGGCUAACUACGUG